This 486-nucleotide ribosomal RNA is filed under the name uncultured bacterium. RNAcentral's name for it is "partial 16S ribosomal RNA". It matches the Rfam family "Bacterial small subunit ribosomal RNA", at positions 29 to 507 of the family's 1533-position model. The record is from RNAcentral.
AUUGAACGCUGGCGGCAUGCCUUACACAUGCAAGUCGAACGGCAGCACGGGUGCUUGCACCUGGUGGCGAGUGGCGAACGGGGGAGUAAUACAUCGGCACAUGUCCUUUAGUGGGGGAUAGCCCGGCGAAAGCCGGAUUAAUACCGCAUACGAACUACGGCUGAAAGCGGGGGCCCUUCGGGCCUCGCCCUUUCGGGUUUGCCGAUGGCUGAUUCGGUUGUUGGUGGGGUAAAGGCCAACCAAGGCCACGACCAGUAGCCGCUAGGAGAGGAGGACCAGCCAAAAGGGAAUUGAGAAACGGUGCAGACCACGACGGGAGGCAGCAGUGGGGAAUAUGGGAGAAGGGGCGCAAGCGUGAUACAGCCAUACCGAGGGGGUGAAGAAGGCCUUCGGGUUGUAAAGCAGUUUUGGUGGGAAAGAAAAGCAGCAGGUGAAUACCCCGCGGGUCUGACGGUACCCAAAGAAUAAGCACCGGCUAAAUUCGGG